GAUGAACGCUAGCGGCAGGCCUAAUACAUGCAAGUCGAACGAGAUUAAGAGGCUUGCUUCUUAUGAAAGUGGCGCACGGGUGCGUAACGCGUAUGCAACCUACCUUAAUCAGGGGGAUAGCCCGAAUAAAUUCGGAUUAAGACCGCAUAAAAACACAGGAUAGCAUUAUCCAAUGUUCAAAUAUUUAUAGGAUUAAGAUGGGCAUGCGUGUCAUUAGCUAGUUGGCGGGGUAACGGCCCACCAAGGCGACGAUGACUAGGGGAUCUGAGAGGAUGACCCCCCACACUGGUACUGAGACACGGACCAGACUCCUACGGGAGGCAGCAAUAAGGAAUAUUGGUCAAUGGAGGGAACUCUGAACCAGCCAUGCCGCGUGCAGGAAGACAGCCCUCUGGGUCGUAAACUGCUUUUAUUCGGGAAUAAACCUUUCUACGUGUAGGAAGCUGAAUGUACCGAAGGAAUAAGGAUCGGCUAACUCCGUG
Molecule: ribosomal RNA, 482 nt
Filed under: uncultured bacterium
Lineage: Bacteria
Description: partial 16S ribosomal RNA
Rfam family: Bacterial small subunit ribosomal RNA
Source: RNAcentral